Oncorhynchus kisutch (coho salmon) is the source of this 2641-nucleotide long non-coding RNA. RefSeq lists it as uncharacterized. Lineage: Eukaryota; Metazoa; Chordata; Actinopteri; Salmoniformes; Salmonidae. The transcript is spliced from 2 exons. The record is from RefSeq and is a predicted model, not a curated record.
CUUUGUAAGGCGCAGAAAAAAGACAAUCAGAUACAAUAUCAGGGAUCUUCUGGUAAGGCUUCUGGAUACCAUUAGUUCUGAAUACUGAGGAUUUGAGGAGAAAAAUGGCUGUGAGUUUUGAAAUGUCUUUGAGGUAAUUAUAGAUAUAUUCCCCAAAAUCAAUUAAAAGGAAUUGGCCACAAUGCAGCGGUAGCUACCAGCUCCCGUGCCUCGGCAGGUGAAGCUACCGGAUCCCGUGCCUCGGCAGGUGAAGCAGCCACCCGUAAUGCCACUGCAAGCGCCACGACUGGCCCAAAAAUCUUAGGUGGAGCAACCGGAUCCCGUGCCUCAGAAGCAGUCACCCACAAUGCCUCAGCAAGCGUCACGACUGGCCCAAAUACCUUAGCUGAAGAAACUGGCCACAAUGCUUCAUCAAGCGCCACGACUGGCCCAAAUGCCUUAGGUGAAGCAGCUGGCCAUAGUGCCUCGGCAGCGGAAGCAACUGGCCACAGUGCCAUGCAAGCGGCCACCCACAAUGCCUCAGCAAGCAUCACGACUGGCCCAAAUACCUUAGCUGAAGCAACUGGCCAAAAUGCUUCAUCAAGCGCCACGACUGGCCCAAAUGCCUUAGGUGAAGCAGCUGGUCACAGUGACGCGCAAGCGGCCACCCAUAAUGCCUCGGCAAGUGUGGCAACUGGCCCAAAUACCUUAGGUGAAACAACUGGCCACAAUGCUUCAUCAAGCGCCACGACUGGCCCAAAUGCCUUAGGUGAAGCAACUGGCCACGGUGCCUCCGUAGUGGAAGCAAUUGGACACAGUGCCAUGCCAGCGGCCACCAAUAAUGCCUCGGAAAAGGCCACCCAUAAUGCGUCAGCAAGCGUCACGACUGGCCCAAAUACCUUAGCUGAAGCAAUUUGCCACAGUGCUUCAUCAAGCGCCACGACUGGCCCAAAUACCUUCGGUGAAGCAACCGGCCACGGUACCUCAUCAAGUCGGUACCUCAUCAAAUCUGGUUCAAAUUCCUCGGCGGAAGCCACAGGCGCCCUUGCCUCGGCGGAAGCCACAGGCGCCCUUGCCUCGGCGGAAGCCACAGGCGCCCUUGCCUCGGCGGAAGCCACAGGCGCCCUUGCCUCGGCGGAAGCCACAGGCCUUGAACAGGAGGGCCAACUCCUCAAGCAACAUGGAUUUUAGCAGCAGUGGUGUUUCUCAGGAUUUUGGGUCUGAUGGUGGCAAUGAAAGCACCCAAUGUCUCAGCUCCAGCAGCGUUCAAGGCAGCAUCAUUGAAUAGUCAGUUCUCAUCCCAAUAUAUUUACAAAUCUGUGUAUGAGAAUGGCAAAACUGUCUACUGCCACACCACUGGGGAGGUUAUACCAUUUUGAUAGCGGAGAUACUCUCAAGGACUGUAGUGACGUUGGCAUCUCUGAACCAAGCAUAUCCCCACCUGCUAAAAACUCACAACCUGCUAAAGGAGCCCUGCCACAAGGGAAGUCUACUGGGAUGUAAUGUGCAACUUUUACACUCACCUGCACUUUGCGUUCUGAUUUAGAAAUAAUUUGUACUAAUCAUCUAUCAACAGAAUUGCAAUGGUAGAUUCAUCCUUUAGAUGACAAAUCCAAGUUGUUGCUGACACUUUCUUUAAGCUUCCACUGUAUGCUUUUGCGUCGGCCAGGGAGAUGCUGCUGCUCAUUCUACCCUGCAUUACUUGUGAAACUAUAAAAGAUUGUACCUUAAGUGCUUCCUUGUGUUUUGAAAUACUGUGUUUAAUGUCUACCUUUGGCUAGCUGGUUGAGAACCGUGUUGGUUGCCAGUGCAAUUUGUAGUAAAAGGGAAUGUUCCUAUUCUUUUGGAUUUGAAAUAUAUAAUUUAUUUUGUAUCUUUGCUGCUGGUUGACAAAUCCCAAGAUUGGCUCUACGUUAAAGCCACUGACCAUCAAUAUCCCAUUUGGGAUACUAAAGUAUUUAUUUUGUGUUGACAGGUAAACAUCUAAUCCUGUUUUACAAAAACCUGCGAAAGCUUGUACCCCGGAGAUGGGCUACUGUGUCAUGUAACCCUCAAUUCUGUUUUUGUGGUGAAACUGAGCCUGCGCAUACAUCUCAUGGUUGUCUGACUCUGUCAAAUUCAUUUAAAGUGGGCUACUUGCUCAGUUUGAUCCACCAUAACUGAGCUUAACGGCUACUUUCACCCCUAAUUUAGACAAGUUUCUGCUUACUUCCUUUUGGUGGGCCAUUUGUCAACUAUAUUUUAAUACAUGCAGCUUUUCUUCUGUCAUAACUUGUUGCCCCAGAAGACUAAAGUAGUGCUCACAAAUGUCUUACGUUGAUAGAAUAAAUGCAUUAGUCAUCUUAACAGGUAAAAUGAUUUAAGGACCAGGUAGCAUGCUAGAACAGUGGAAACAUUGGUCCUGUGCCAAAUGUCAUUUUGACAGAUUUUAAGGAAAUGGAAUGCUGAGAAUGGUAACUUCAGUUAGUCUUGGGUGUGUAUUGAAUGUGAUUGAAAUGCUGUCUGCUUGCAAAAGUGUCAAAGAUGACACAUUACAUGUGCAUUUUCCCGAGCGGCUGAUAGAAAUAUUUAUCCACUCCUGUUCCCAAGAAAAUUUAAAGAUUCCUUUUUAUCAUUUCACUGCAACUGAAGUUAAUAUAAACUCUGCAAAAAAAGAAACGUC